RNAcentral lists this ribosomal RNA (252 nucleotides) under uncultured bacterium. RNAcentral describes it as "partial 16S ribosomal RNA". It matches the Rfam family "Bacterial small subunit ribosomal RNA", at positions 524 to 776 of the family's 1533-position model. The record is from RNAcentral.
UACGUAGGUGGCAAGCGUUGUCCGGAUUUACUGGGCGUAAAGGGCGUGCAGGCGGUCUGUUAAGUCUAGGGUGAAAGCUCCCGGCUCAACUGGGAGAGGUCCUUGGAUACUGGCGGACUUGAGGGAGGCAGAGGAGUAUGGAAUUCCGGUGUAGUGGUGAUAUGCGUAGAUAUCGGGAGGAACACCAGUGGCGAAGGCGGUACUCUGGGCCUUACCUGACGCUGAGACGCGAAAGCGUGGGGAGCGAACCGG